UACGUAGGGUGCGAGCGUUAAUCGGAUUUACUGGGCGUAAAGCGUGCGCAGGCGGCCCGUUAAGACAGGUGUGAAAUCCCUGGGCUCAACCUAGGAAUUGCGCUUGUGACUGGCGGGCUCGAGUACGGUAGAGGGGGGUGGAAUUCCUGGUGUAGCAGUGAAAUGCGUAGAGAUCAGGAGGAACACCGAUGGCGAAGGCGGCCCCCUGGAUAAAGACUGACGCUCAGGCACGAAAGCGUGGGGAGCAAACAGG
Molecule: ribosomal RNA, 253 nt
Filed under: uncultured microorganism
Description: partial 16S ribosomal RNA
Rfam family: Bacterial small subunit ribosomal RNA
Source: RNAcentral